Long non-coding RNA from Calidris pugnax (ruff), 2255 nucleotides. RefSeq lists it as uncharacterized. Lineage: Eukaryota; Metazoa; Chordata; Aves; Charadriiformes; Scolopacidae. The transcript is spliced from 3 exons. The record is from RefSeq and is a predicted model, not a curated record.
CCUAAUAAGUUCCUGUAAAUGAAAGGGAAAUAAGAUGUCUACUGCUGGGCAUUGCAGCACACAGCAGCAUAUGGAGGUGACAGUAGAGUGACAGGUCCAUAACUGCUAAGGUCUCAUCAAGUCUUCUUUAAAAUACAGAUCUCUUCAGAUAUGCUGACUCUUGAAUGUGUGGUAUAUACAGAAAAAAAAAAAAGCUUCUCCAGUGUUGUUUCCUGCAAAGACCAUUCUUAAGAGCUCGUUGGACAGCGCAGGGCUCUUGAAGUGAUAGCUAAUUGGUGAAAGAAAGACCCUGAUUGUCUUGAGGGAGCUGGAAAGUGCUGCGUGUGCUGCUGAAAGGGACUAGGGAGAAGGUGCCUGGUUUCGCUGAGCAGCUGCUGCUGGAGAUGUUUGGAGAUUACAUCAGCAUUGGAAAAAAGGGGCCAAAAAAAAAAAAAAAAGUCCAACUUCACAGAGACGGAGUUUAUGGAGUUUUUUUUCCCCUUUCCAAAGGUCUUCUGACAAUACUGUCAUUGUCAAUAUAAGAGUUGUUAAUUCUUUAUGAAUAGCACAUGGGGCCUCUUGACUAAAUAGUACGUUACAUGUCCCAAAUCUGUCAGCUGGACUCUUCUCUCACAUGCUAGUGAGAUCACUUUGAUUGGAAUGUUACAGGAAUUGCUGGGCUGGCCGUGCAGAACUGAAUGCUGCAUUAUAUAAUUAGAUCUCCCAGAGUAUUUUUUUCGCAUUACCUCAUUAUUCUAGCUUAAAUAUGGAAUCAGCCCUUUUGAUGAUUUUACUAGUUGUAAUUAUAUUAAUACGAUUCAUUUUGUGGUCCUGUCUUAGUACUUAUAUAGAUUAUAAACUGUCCCGAAGGUUUCCCGAUACGAGAAAAGACAACUAAGAGACUUCAAAAGGCUUGUUCAGAUUUGAAUUGACAAUGGGGAGAACUGGGAUAAGGUAAAUGGAGCUGGAGCAGAUUUUACCUUGGGAUCUGAUGAGAGAGAAAUGACCCGUUGAGACUGCAGCUGAGUGAAGAUUCUUCAGAAAGCCUCAUGCUGACAGAGAGGGGGGGGAAAAAAGGACAACUGAUUGAGUCAAAUGACUUCCUGUCAAACUCGGGCAUGAAUUUGUUGUCGGGAACAGACUUUUGGACUUUUGCCAAUUAAAUGAUCGGGACAAGCUGGAAGGAAUCCUAUUGCUGGGCAGCCCAAGGCUGCCAGUGGCCCGGUCUUGAUAGGUGAAACGCGAUGGUGUGCUGCCUGCUGGACUAACUGCUGAUCUGGACAUUAAGAUGUUGGCUGCUCAGUUGUAGGCAACAACUGAUGGUGCCUGGAUGAAGCUGAAGAUCACUAGCCCAGUUCAGUAUCCACAUGCCACACUAUGGCACGGGAGUGGAUUUUCACCUGAUUGGCUGGUUUGUUACCAAAUUCCUCAUGGUUCUUCCCUGUCAGUCGGAUCUGAAAGUGACUGAAUGUUUUAAAUUGACUAUAACCUGCUGAAUAUUCACAUUUCUUAGCAGGUGAUAUAUCUGAGGACCAGGACGAGCUGGAUACCACUGGAAUAGUCUGUUUCAUGAAAAACAGAUUUGUGCCGCGGGGAUGAUCUGGUGGACUCUAGCUGUGCUUCAGCAGCAAUGAGGGGUGGGGGCACACGACAGCAUGGUAUGCAGUGAGUUUACUCCAAAGCCCUGCGAGAUACCUUCACUUCUAGCCUUUUAAUAAGGAGCUUACUAGAAUACCGAAGGAUUUGACUACUUGCCGAAGGCCAUAGUGACUUGGGAAUUUUUGGUUAACUCAUCUUGCAAAAUUAAAUAAUUUCUUCCAAGUGGACUGUCUGCUUUCAAGUUGAUGUUUCACUAAGUCAAACAUCCAAAAAUCUUACUGCAUAUACAACUCAACAUCUACUUUUCAGAACUGAAUCUUCCUACGGUAAAAGUAGGAAAAUCAUAUUGCCUUGCCUGAGAAAAUGCAGUGUCCUUUUCGGGCUGAUAAUUUUCUAUGUCACGUAAGAGUGAACGUUGCCACUUCAUAAACUGCCUUGUCUAUCUCUUGGUAGCUCACAUGAUGAUAUCAGAGUUCAACCUAGGUAAAAACCCACAGCGUUCCCAUAAAGAGUUUCUGUCCCAUUCAUGGCUCGCACACUCCUACAGACUUGUCUCAUUAGUAACUGUUAAUCAGCCCUUAUCACUUUGUCUUUUGAAGCCUCCUAAAAUUCAGGCACGAGAGCUGGUAUGUGUUCAUGCUGUGGAACAGGGUAAAUGUCAGGUCAAUUGAUUUCAA